AAAUUUCUCCCCUUUCACGCGCUUCUUUGGUCGGGACUCUUUUUCCCUCGCGCCAAAAAUGCGUUAAAUCCGCCGAACAGAAGGAAGGAUUUCGUUAAGUCCGGGAUUUUCCACGAAAAGAGGGAAUUUUCCGUCAGCGGCUUAGAUUUACCGUGAGAUCUAGUUUUGCAUUUUUGGCCGUUUGGCUGGACUUAGCCCAAAACUGCCCCAAAUCUAGCCUAAAUCCUGAAUCCAAACAGCCCCUAAGUCCUCGUCCGUGGCUAAUUGGCAAACAUGUAUUCACCUUUGAGUCCUCUGUGGUCUUCGGAGAUUAUAUUUUUUCUCUGGGAACGAGCUUCAAUCUCCUUGUCAUGCGCGAUUGGACCUUCUCCCUUGUUCUUCUUUACUGCUGUCUGAGCAAUGUUCUUUUUUUUUUUAGUGGAAGCUUGUCGUUCUCCCUCUGGAUGGCAUAUUUCAGUGUGUAACCAGGCAGAGAGCGCUUCGGCUUACCACUGUGACGGCUUGCUCUAAGUCAGGAUAUGCAAUUCUAAAUCCAAAUGCUUGAAAUCAGGGAGAAUGAUGCGCUGGUUUUAUUUCCAAUUGAGGGUGGUGGCUUCUGCAAGUUAGUUUAUCCCUUUGUGAGCUGAAUUUGUUAAGGUACAAAUCCAAGUAGUCUCUCACUUCUUCCUUCCCAAGCCUCUCUUUCCUUAGAAAUCUUCGUGUGGAAAAAUUUCCUCAGCUACAGCUUCUGGUGUUAAACAUCUACUGGACUCUUUGGAACAAUUAGAACUUGAAGAAGUGUCUUAAUAAGUAUUCUGCUCCAAAAACUGCCAGAACACCGUCCCUCUUCGUUUGGACUGUGACUAGCACUUUUUGAGAGCCUGGAUUGCCUUCUUACCUUUCUAUCCUUUCUUCUCUCCACUUGCGUAACAUUUUUAUGGUUCCUGACAUCCACAAAUUACUUUAUGAGACCCACUAUUACUCAAAUGUUGGGCCUGGAAUUAUUUUUUAAUGCUCACUAUUACUCGAAUGUAGGACUCAGGCUAAUAGUUUUUUCCUAUUAUGAGAACCAGUUUUACUCAAACCUUGGAAGUCUAGCUUAGUUGAAAAUAAUCGAAGGAUAUUUUUUCUCUUCCCUAUAUGCUUUUUUGUAUAUUAUAUAUGAAGGGAACUGAAUGACAGGAAAUAUGGCCAUCUCAUCCCUUUUACUUCUUCUAUUUUAAGCAUGAUGUGUUGUCAUAUGGCUGCAAGAUCUGGGAGGUUGUGUGUUUCUUAUCCUCUUAUGUACAAUUCUGGCAACACAACUUAUAUUGGCUAUUAGUUUCAAAUGGUGGUUUCUGAUAAAUGUUGAUGGCUUCUUUUGUGUUUGUGAGUUUUUCCGUUAUGUUUAUCUCUGGUGGUUGGGUUUGGUUCAUCCUCCAUGUGGUUGAUUCAUGCUUCUUUUUCAAUUCGAUGGCUGCUUCUUUAUUCAUGGAUUGAUUUUUUGAGAGGGCUAUGAUGAGUCAUAUAUUCCUAGGGGUUCUCCAGGACUGCCUUUCUUCUGCUAUGCUUUUCUAAAUAUGCCAGAGACGAUGAAACAACCAUAAGCAGAGACAGUGAAUCAGGAUGGCCUUUCUGCUGCUAUGCUUUCAUUGUCUCUGCUUAGAAGGAUGGUCUAUCUUCUCAAAUACUCCUUGUCGUUGAUUCAUACGGUUAACUGAAGCUUUAUUGAAUAUUUUUCCGCUUUUGCUGGAUAGCUUCUCUGUCUUCUAAUGAAUGGAUGACAUUAAAGUUUAAAGGUCGUCACAUGCAUAAAGCCUUAGCUGUCUGCCACUUAGUAUUCUUGUUUUUUCACAAAGCUCCAAAAGCACGUCAAAAUUUGCGGUCUGCAAGCAUCAUCAAUGGACAUUAACCACGAUUAAAUGGAGUUUGUACUCUACAAAUUAAUUGAAACAUGAUAUUUCCUUUCUUGUUUAUUUUGUUGUGUGAUUUUCUUUCUAACAAUAAUAACACAAGGGCAACACCCAUCUGCCAAACACAGAUAUCGAGCUCGAUAUUCCCACCGAACGCCAGCCAUACAGUCAGAUAUUGUUCAAAAUGGUCUGUUGUGCUAAUCUCAACACUGGCUUUGAGUAUCUGAAAGAUCAAGUCUUGUGCUGCAGAUUCUUUUGUGAGCUAGUCAAAACUCAAAAGUGAUUUUUUUUCUUGUCCUCUCAGCGUAGAGAAAUUAUUCGGUGCGGGGUCCGGACGUAGCUCUACGUCCUAACCCUCGCUUCCCAACUUGUUGAAUAUAUAUCCUCUAAUUUCGGUGGACGCGAUGCUUGAAGUGUAUGGUUCUAAUUUUGGGGUUAUGGCUGUUGGUGUUUUUUUUUUUUUUUGGACAGUUAGGCGAAUUAAAGAUGGAAGAUGGAGGUGAGCUGCUUUUUUUUUUUUUUUUUUCAUAUGAUGCUCUCUGAGCAAUGAGCAAUGAUAUUGUUAUUAUUAUUAUAACAAGAUAAAGAAAAGAAGCAACAUUAGUUGAAACUCUCUAAAAUUUCUGCACAGCCUCCUCCAGUCUCUUCAAGUUGGGAUCAAUUUUGAGAGCACGUUUGCCAAUUUUGACAGUCUUUUCUUCAUGGAUUUCAUGAUGGAACGCACCCUUCUCAGCUUCUUGGUUUUCAAGUAGCAAACACUCCACUUAAUUGUGGUUAAUGUCAAUUAAUGAUGCUUGUGAACUGCAAAUUUUUACGUGCUUUUGGAGUUUUGUGAAAAAGCAACAAUAUUAAGUGGCAGAUAACUACGUAUUUCUGCAUUUGACGUCCUUUGGACUUUGAUGUUAGCAAUUCAUUAGAAGAUAGGAAAUCUUGCCAGCAAAAGCAGAAAAAAAUAUUCAAUAAAACUUUAUUAUUAUUAUUAUUAUUAUUAUUAUUAUUAUUAUUAUUUUUAUUUACUUGCUUGAUGUUACGGUGAAGGCUUGAGCUUGUGCUUGCCAAAUAAGCGCGUGACCGCGUCAUAUUUAGAAACCGUUUGGUAACUCAAAUUAUGGUCUGAACUUUUCAAUAGUGUUUCGGGUGCUUGAUUUGGACUCAUUUGGGCUCGGAUUGAAUCGAAUUUGGUGUCGUUGAUUCGUAUUCUGAGACGCUCAGUUUGAUUGUAAGUUCACUGAAAUCGUAGUUUAGUGAUCCCAGAUUUAAUUUUUGAAGUUUCCGGCUUGAUUUUACCUCGAGAUUUGUGCCCUGGUCUAGAUAAUUUUUCGAUGAUAAUAUCAACUCAAAUGUUGGAUUCAAAUAAGUUGACUUUGGGAAAGAACUAAAGGAAAAUUUAUUUUUAUAUUAUUUUUUGGCAUGAACGGAAUUGCAGUUUCUACUUCGUCCAGAGCAUGGUUCUCUUAUCCUCCUAAUCGAGAUCACAUACCAGAAGAAACAACCUGAGUUGCGCAAAAGAUGUGAAUGGAGUUUGUUAUGAUGUGGAUGAAGAAGCCAUCAAUUGAACGUCAUACUCAUUUUAUCGGCACUAAUAUGUACAGCAACAUUUCUCUUCGAUCUAUGUUGGGCCUUGGUGGUAUGCUUAAGACAACUCUUGUGUAAAGUGUUUAUUAAGAUGAAAUGACAGAGGAAUUUGAUCUUAAAAUGUAGAUACGGGUUUCCAACAACUUGAUGUGAAAAGAGUCAUUGUAGUUAUGUUGCAAUAUUUAUACAAUUUAAAAAGACUCAUAACUAAUUAUUUAAUUUCUAGUUGUACUAUUAAUUAGUUGUGUUAUUUUAAUGAAAUUUUAAUUUAAUUAUAUCAUUAAUUAUCUAAUUAGUUAUUUAAAUAUUUUAUUACUAAUUAUUAAUAUCUCCAUUUCUUUGUUACUGCUGUUGCUUUUUCUCCUGAAUUGAAGGUCAAGAUGGGAGCUCGCUCGCUAUGAAGGUAAUCAUCUUUUUUCCCUUUUGCUUGGUUCUGCCCAAAUCCUGGAAAUUUGCUUAUUUGUCUGGAUUUACGACAAAAAGAGGAAAAUUAAGGUUUUAUUUCUUCCUGAUUUAACAUGUCCUUGAAAUACGUUUGGCAGGAUUUAGCAAUAAUCCUGCCUAAAUCCUAUUAGCAAAGCCUCUAAGUGAUCGAAAAAGUGAAAGAAGCUCAUAAUUGCCAUCUACUAGGAUUUGCUACACCUUUUUAUAUUUUUUUUCAUAAAUUGGUAUGGGUUGCCGUGGAUGUUGCAUGGUUCACCUUCUUGCUAUUGAUUGGACUUCUGUAUCUAUAUGUAGGUUUCAACAUAACGUGCUUUAUUCACCAGUUGCUAUAAAAGCCAUGUAGUCCCUAUGAUUGCCUACCCCAUAUGUCCAACUUGAUUAAUAACUUUGUUUUUAUAUCAUAAUUGAUAUUUAUCUGAUUUAUAAAUGAUUUGUAAAUUUAGAUAAAUUAUUAUGUCUAGUGUUUAUUCAUUUUUUUGCUUUAAAAUUGCCUAUGCUAGUCCUAGCUAUGAUGAAGAAGUUAUUUAUGAAGGAACGGAAUGGCAGGAAUUACCAGACCUCCCUCCCUCGAAAUCUCUGUCAAUACUCUACUGCCAUCCAGACUUGUAGGAGCGCUACCGAAAGUUUGUCAGUUCUGAUUGGCACAAGUUUCAGCCAGAGCUGUGGUUGGCAGAGGAUUAAUGGCCAACAUGCAAUACUUAGGCAGGAAAGAGAUGAAGGGAAAUAAUGAAUACAGAUCGAGGUGCCUUCAAUGCCGUUGAAGUUAAAAUAUUGAUGAUUCCCCUCCUACGGUGCCGAUUAUGGAGCACAAAGAACAGCUGAAUAGAAACAUGGGAGGACACAUGGGUGCGUUCUGCAACCACAAAUAUCUUAUAGGGAUCUUUUGUUAUUGUUGCUUUUCUCAAUUUAGCAUUCAUCUAAGGUGAAAAUAUUUCAUGAAGAGCAAUUUUUUAUAAUGAAAGUUAGCUUGAGCUGGCUGUGUGGUGAAUAAGAAGGAAACAUAUGAUCUGGCAUGUCCUUCUCUAAAUGUUCAUAAUUGCUAGCAAGUAAUCUUUACAAUAAAAAGUGAAAACAGAAGAUUAGGUGGAUGUUUACUACACUAA
Dendrobium catenatum is the source of this 4993-nucleotide RNA transcript. RefSeq lists it as uncharacterized. The record is from RefSeq and is a predicted model, not a curated record. The transcript is spliced from 4 exons. NCBI's taxonomy places the organism in Eukaryota, Viridiplantae, Streptophyta, Magnoliopsida, Asparagales, Orchidaceae.